CCUACGGGCGGCUGCAGUAGGGAAUCUUCCACAAUGGGCGAAAGCCUGAUGGAGCAACGCCGCGUGUGUGAUGAAGGCUUUCGGGUCGUAAAGCACUGUUGUAUGGGAAGAACAGCUAGAAUAGGAAAUGAUUUUAGUUUGACGGUACCAUACCAGAAAGGGACGGCUAAAUACGUGCCAGCAGCCGCGGUAAUACGUAUGUCCCGAGCGUUAUCCGGAUUUAUUGGGCGUAAAGCGAGCGCAGACGGUUUAUUAAGUCUGAUGUGAAAGCCCGGAGCUCAACUCCGGAAUGGCAUUGGAAACUGGUUAACUUGAGUGCAGUAGAGGUAAGUGGAACUCCAUGUGUAGCGGUGGAAUGCGUAGAUAUAUGGAAGAACACCAGUGGCGAAGGCGGCUUACUGGACUGCAACUGACGUUGAGGCUCGAAAGUGUGGGUAGCAAACAGGAUUAGAUACCCUUGUAGUC
This 465-nucleotide ribosomal RNA is filed under the name uncultured Leuconostoc sp. RNAcentral describes it as "bacterial SSU rRNA". It matches the Rfam family "Bacterial small subunit ribosomal RNA", at positions 338 to 795 of the family's 1533-position model. Lineage: Bacteria; Bacillati; Bacillota; Bacilli; Lactobacillales; Lactobacillaceae. The record is from RNAcentral.